RNAcentral lists this ribosomal RNA (641 nucleotides) under uncultured bacterium. Its description in RNAcentral is "bacterial SSU rRNA". It matches the Rfam family "Bacterial small subunit ribosomal RNA", at positions 390 to 1045 of the family's 1533-position model. The record is from RNAcentral.
AGCAUGCCGCGUGAGGGAUGAAGGCCUCUGGGCUGUAAACCUCUUUUAUCAAGGAAGAAGAUCUGACGGUACUUGAUGAAUAAGCCACGGCUAAUUCCGUGCCAGCAGCCGCGGUAAUACGGGAGUGGCAAGCGUUAUCCGGAAUUAUUGGGCGUAAAGCGUCCGCAGGCGGUCUUUAACGUCUGUCGUCAAAGGCGUGGAGCUUAACUCCAUUUCUGCGAUGGAAACUGGAAGACUAGAGUGUGGUAGGGGCAGAGGGAAUUCCCGGUGUAGCGGUGAAAUGCGUAGAUAUCGGGAAGAACACCAGUGGCGAAGGCGCUCUGCUGGGCCAUAACUGACGCUCAUGGACGAAAGCCAGGGGAGCGAAAGGGAUUAGAUACCCCUGUAGUCCUGGCCGUAAACGAUGAACACUAGGUGUCGGGGGAAUCGACCCCCUCGGUGUCGUAGCCAACGCGUUAAGUGUUCCGCCUGGGGAGUACGCACGCAAGUGUGAAACUCAAAGGAAUUGACGGGGGCCCGCACAAGCGGUGGAGUAUGUGGUUUAAUUCGAUGCAACGCGAAGAACCUUACCAGGGUUUGACAUCCUGCGAAUCUCUUGGAAACGAGAGAGUGCCUUCGGGAACGCAGUGACAGGUGGUGCA